CGUGAGUUCCCUAACUGGCUUACCUUUUUCUUCCUGACUCCUCCAAUAACCAUUCUCUCUCUAAAAAACGCGCAGAAGAAUAUUUCAAUGGCCAGAGAGUUGCAUAUCAGGCUUGUUCAUAGUUCUUGUUCUUUUCUUUUUUGCUUUUAUGAAAUUCUUCAUAUGUCAUAUUUAAUUUCAACUGAUGAUGAACAUCUGAAUUUUAAUUCUCUGUUACGUUUGUGUUUUGAUCUUCUUUAGAUCGGAUUUAAAGCCUCAUCUUUUAUCCGCACUUGAGAACGGUUCCUGAUCCUCUUUAUAUUAUUUGAUAUUUAGAAAUUCUUGUUUCUCCAAGUUAAUAUAUAAAACCCUUGUGUUUCUUGGUGGAUUAAUAUAACUGAUCAGCAACAAAAGAAGAUAAUAUCACUCGAUGCUGGAACCCGAUCGAAUAUUAAUUUAACUUAAGAACUUCUGCGUUUUAUUUAUUCUGUUAUUUUUAUGGUCAUUUGCUAUGAUUGAGAUAUAUAUAUAUGAAAGUAAAAUUUGGGUUUUUUUUUUCAAUUGUAAUAAAAAUUAUAUAUUAAAAAAAAAAACGUUUUUGUUCUCUUCUGUGGUAAGGAAAUGAGUUCUAAUUAAAUUUUUGUUUGGUAACAGUUAGUCAAGUCAUGGCUUACACUUAUUCAUUGAUAAUAGGCCACAUCAGCCUCUUGCUCGUGGCUUUCUUGCCAGUUGAUAAGAGUGACCGAGAGGCCAAAUAAAAUUGAUGAUAUUUGCAUAAAUCUAUAUAAUAACUUGAAAGUCAAGAUUGAUAAAAGGAAGAUUUCGGAUUAACAAUUUAACCCUAUUGACAGAUCGAUGUAGUAAGAGAUGGAACUGCCAUGAAACGGCUUGACCACAGUUGUUGUUUGCUGGUGUAGCACCAUCAAGAUUCACAUGAAAAAGCAAGGUGGUGAGUUCAUUGCUUUUUCGCUCUGCCAUAGCUUUUUGGUACUGAGAAUCUUGAUGAUGCUGCAUUGGCAAUAAACGACUAGCAAACCAAUAUGUAUGCUAUUCUUCAGUGAUGUCUGCCAGACGGGAUUUUGGUAUUUUUAUGGAUUAUAUACGAAUUCUUCCGUCCAGUACUAAUUACCAAAUAUGUUGUAAGUGCAUAUUUGAUAUGCCUUACUCAAUAUUAUUUUUCUAGUCUUGCUCUAUAUACCAAACACACCUUGGCUGUACUAUUUCACUUUUGUGUAUGGGUUUUGUGUCAGCUCUUUGUAGACAGACACAAGUGACUGCUGAUUGCUGAAGGACUUCACUCUGCAGAUCAAAUGCAUAGAUCUGUGAUUGUGCAGAAAAAGUCCUGAUGAAAUCUUUAUCAAUAUAAAGAUAAUCAGAAGUCAAAAAUUUUGGAGAAAUUCUUACAUAAACAGGUAAUUAUAUCUCAUUUUUGCUUAUUUUUCCACAUUCAUUAUUUGAUUCUUAUCAUAGUAUUGAUCAUGGCUUUUUUUCUCUUCUUUUUUUCUCCAGGAAGGUAACAGAUAUGUAAAUUCUCAUCAUCGUGGCAAAUGGACAUGUGACAUGGUAAUUGACAAGAAUUUGCAUUGCCAAGAAGAGGUGAGGACAGCUUUUUAGCUUUCUAUUAUUAGAUACACAACAUUAGAUCAAUCAACUAAAUAAAAACUUGUUAAAAUACGUGCUCUAAAUGCUGGUCGGGCAUAAGAAAGAUUUGUUUUUAUUUUACUUUGUCUUAUUUAACGGAGAUUCAAAGUAAAUUUGAUUGUUACAUGGACAGAAUUCAAAGUGGUGUGUUUUCUUGAGAAAAGUUAAUGGUUUCUUCGAAAAUUGCUACUUUUCUUGGAAAAAUUCAUGAUAGUAUUUAUGACAGACAUUGUUGGGGCUGGAUUGCUCUUAACAGUUAUCAUCAGUCCAGUUAAGUGGACCUAUUUAUUGCAACUUGGCAUGUACUCUUCCUCAGAGAAAUGUUCAGUCCACCAAUUUCUCACCGAAAUAAUAAUAUCAAAUUUUGCUCCUUCUUAUGACAAUGAUGGUUCAGAUAAUUUAUUUCAACACCUGUCUGCGUUCUGCGGUGGACUAUAUGAAUCUUUCUUUUUUGCUAACAUGUAUAAUGUGUCUAAAUAUGGAGUUAAGAAAAAGAAAAAUGGCUAAAUCUUUUGUUUGAAGCUUUUGAUUACUUGAUCUGGGUUAAUGUGAUAUUCAAGCAUGCAAUAUUGAUUUCAAGGGCAAGUUUUGUGCCUUUUCCCUUUAUCAAUGUGAAUUUUUAUUUUAUUUUUUCAACAUUUGUGUUUGAUAAAAAAAUUAAAAAAAAUGAACCCACCCACGAAAUCCAUAUGUGCCGGAGGUUUAACACUAGACAUAUGUUUGGCAAGUGUUUAUAAAUAAUUUCAAAAAAUGAAGUACAGGUAUCGAUAUGUAUAAUUUUUUAUGAUUGAAAUAACUAGAAAAAUGUGGUUUAACAUUAAAGAGCAGUGUAUGUUGUGCUUGUUUUAUUAAUUAGGGAUACGUGUGUGAUAAAAAAAAAUUAGCAAGGGAAACAUGCCAAAGAUAAAUCCCAUUAUUUUGGAAACUAGAAUAAAGAAUACAUUAGGAUUUAAUUUCUCGAAUUUAAUUUAUUUCCUUAUUUUCUUUCUAAUUUUCGCUGUUUGGGUAACUUUAUUUUUUUACAAAAAUCUUGUUUGGUACCUUUUUUUAAGGAAUAAAUGUGUGGUUGAAAAUUGUGUUAGGCGUUGGGGUUAGGUGAUUGUGUGGAUCCGACAAGUGAUUAUUUUUGUCAACUAACAAAUUUUUGAAUGAAAAUCGUCAGAGGUUCUUGCAUAGGACAUUUAAGGUUUGAGACCUUCAUUACAAUUUUUUGAAAGAUUUGGAACUUCCUAUGCAAAUUAUCUAUUUUUUAAUAAUUAAUAGAAGAUUGAAAGACUAUUUUGUCUUUUUUAAAAUUGAUGAGAUUAUGGUUAAACAUUGACUUUUGGUCAACUAACAAAUAUUUGGACUAAAAUCGUUCAAAAAUUCUUACACUGCACAAGUUUAAAAGAUUUGAGAAUCACUGAUCGAAGAUUUAAAUAAAACCCACAAAAAUUUAAAGAAUUUGAAACCGUUGCUACAAUUAUCCUUGAUAAGCAUGUUACUUUGUAUUUACAGGUGUUGCAUCUCAUUUUAUAAUAUUUAUUAAUUAAGUACUGCAUUAUCCAAAACUUUUAUUUUUUAAUCUAUGUCCAUUUUUGUCUCCACUUUCUCACUCUCUUUUCAAUAAAAUUAUUAUGCUUUUUCUCAUCAUGAACUUUUACCAGCUUUUUGUGUUACAGCUGCUUCGUUUGUGGACCAAAGAGAGGAAAGACUGUUGAUUUGACUACUGAUCCAAGAACACUAUUGAACGUAAACAUGUGAAAAUUAUUUUUCUCGUUGUAGUUCUUAGACAAAAGAGUCGCUCUAACAGACAUAUGGUAUAAUUUUUGCAAAGUAAGGCCAUCCAUAUUCGCCGUCGGAAUCAGAAAUACGGUCGUUGUUGGAUGAUUUGCAUACAAGUCGAGCUAGCGCAUGUCAUUCUAAAGCAUAAAGUAAAUACCGUUAUAAUAUUCGAUCAAGUGCUCAAAUUGGACUAACUCAACGAUCGUUGAGCUGAAGAAUAAUAAUAUUCAAAUCAAAUUCGAAGCUAAGUAAUAAGAUAAUGAAUAAUAUUCAAAUCGAGUGGGUAGUGACCUUUAACAUCCUUUUUGAGGCAUCUAGCUCAACGAAGCUCGCAAGAGUAGGACUUCUUCAUUCCUUAGAAACUAGGAAUCUCAGGGAAAAACUUGCCACAAGGGAGGAGUUGCGACAAGUUGCCAGCGAAUGAAAGCUCAGAUGUUAAACCCUUCAAACAGACUAAUGCCGUUAUUUCUGAGAAUUCUUUGCUGUGGCAUUUGAUCCUUGUUUUUCUCAUUCCGCAAAUGGUUAUUGUUAAGAGGAGAAAAUGGGUUCGAAUGGGGAAAGAAAGGAGCAAAAUAUUUUAAAACUAAAAUACCAUUCACUUAAUGGAGAAAUUGAAUAGAAAUGAAGGUAGAUGACAUUUUGAGCAAUCGAAUGUAUAAUCAACGAUGAAAAAGUCAUAAAAUGAAAGGUGAGAACUCUUAC
This 4086-nucleotide long non-coding RNA is filed under the name Olea europaea subsp. europaea. The stretch from base 881 to 1003 matches the Rfam family "mir-172 microRNA precursor family". Lineage: Eukaryota; Viridiplantae; Streptophyta; Magnoliopsida; Lamiales; Oleaceae. The record is from RNAcentral.